GCACGCGGACGCGGGGCUGGGGAUCCGCCAGGACACAGAAAGCCACCGCCGCCGGCGAGCCCCGGAAUCUCGCUUUCUCCUGAGGCCUCAAGCUGCGGGCGCGGAGGCCGGGGAGGCGGCCGCGCCCCUGGCGCUGGCGGGCGUGCGGAGAAGGGACUGCGCGCCCUCCGUCGUCGAUCGAUUUUUCACCGAGCGUCGACGGGGAAGGGAUCCGAGGGUUGCUCGCGUUUCCGAUCCAUUCUGCGGGUCAGGUUCCUGCUGAAAGGAGGGACCCCUUCCCAGUAAGAAGUUCCUUAACUCUGGCGCCCCUCGGCGGGAGGAGGAGACGGACCUACUACGCGCCGGAGCCUUUGCACUCUUGGCUUACAGGAUUGUCUUCAGUAUUGUUCCCAUUUUAUGGACUGCCUAAGGGCAAGGGCUUGUACAAAGCCUAGCCAAGUUUCCAAUUCAGUAGAGAUGGGGUUUCACCAUGUUAGCCAGGAUGGUCUCGAUCUCCUGACUUCGUGAUCCGCCCGCCUCGGCCUCCGAAAGUUCUGGGAUUACAGGCGUGAGCCACCGCGCCCGGCCGAAAGGGGCUUUUUCUCUGUGCUCUUCAGCUGGACUCCCAUCCUGCGUUCCUCUUGCUGCCAGUGCCUAUCUUGGACUGCAUAGGAAGCAAGACUGCUGCUGAAGUCCCUGGCUGCACCCUGGAGUGGCUCAGUCUUUUGAGCCUGAGAGGCGUGCCAGGCCUGGAAACAGCCCUUGGACAGAAGGUUCCUGUGUGGGCCUUUACUAAGUCCUCUCCACUCCCUGCUGUGUGUGUCUGCUUAAAUGCUCCCUGGUUUUUGCUGGGAAAAAAAUGGAAAACAAAUCAUUUGAAUGAUUUACAUGAAGAUAGGCGCCAUCUAUCGGAACCAGUUGGGGUGACAAUCCCCCCACCCCCAAGCCCUGAGCGGACAUGCAUCACUAGCCCAUAAUUUAGGCAAUUUUGUUUAAAGACCACUGGUAUUUCCUGGGGGAGUUAAUGGCCGGCUCCAAGAGUGCUUUGGGUCAUUAAUCUUAUAUUCUCAUUAAAUUCUCAGGAAAUGACUAUCUUAUGAGGAGGGAGCACUGCAGAGAUUAGAGAAAUGCACACUGGGAGAGCAUGGGUACCACUUUGGUCCCCGCUCCUAGCUACUCUCACUCCCCACAAAGCCUGGGGUUCUAAAGGGUGCACUGUGGCUUUGAGUGUUGUCAGCAACGUCCAUCACUGCAUCUGUGCGUGUCUGGGAGUUGAGGGUUUGUGGCCAGUGGCAGGUGCGUGGCUGGUGGAAUGCUCCCAGAAACGGGUUGAAGGGCUGGAAGGAGAGCUGUCCUCAACUGCACACCAAGCUGGUGUGAUUAAUACCACCCACGCCAGGCCUGACGUCAGUGAUUGGACUGGGGGUGGGGAUGGAUGUUUGUGUGCUAGCCCUUCUGCUUUUUCUCCCCUUCAAUUUAGUUGACAGGUUAAUUUCAGAACUGAGUGCUGCUUACCAAGGUCAGUGUGACCAGUUGAGCCACCUCAGCUGGUGUCUUUCAGGACACUCAUCUCUCAGGCAUAUUAAGGUGUGUGCUUCUUUAACCCCUAGUUACUUGAGGCCCACAUGGUUCCCUGUGUCAAAUUACUCUAACUUACUCAAGUCAACUCUGGGCAUCUGGUUGAGGAUGAGAUCUAGAAGUGGGAUUGGGGUGGGGUUAAAGACCUAAUUGGGUUUCCUCCCUGUCUGUGGCUAAUAGUCUGAGAGUUACUUGACACUAUACCCAGUGGGAGACAUUUUGAAAAUAAACUUUUGGCCAGGUGUAGUGGCUCACGCCUGCAAUCCCAACACUUUGGGACACUGAGGCCAGUGAAUCACUUGAGGUCAGGAGUUUGAGACCACCCUGGCCAACAUAGUGAAACCCCAGCUCUAUUAAAAAUACAAAAAUUAGCGGAGUGUGGUGGCACACACCUGUAAUCCCAGCUGCUUGGAAGGCUGAGGCAGAAUUGCUGGAACCUGGGAGAUGGAGGUUGCAAUGAGCUGAGAUUGCACCAUUGCACCCCAGCCUGGGUGACAAGAGUGAGACUCCAUCUCAAAAAAAAAAAAAAA
This 2087-nucleotide long non-coding RNA is filed under the name Macaca mulatta (Rhesus monkey). Its description in RNAcentral is "lncRNA (ENSMMUG00000052900.1)". Lineage: Eukaryota; Metazoa; Chordata; Mammalia; Primates; Cercopithecidae. The record is from RNAcentral.